CACGACCAGUGCAACAGAGAGCAAACCGCCGAUGGCCCACGCAAGUGGGAUCAGGUAAGGGUGAAAGGGUGCGGUAAGAGCGCACCGCGCGGCUGGUAACAGUCCGUGGCACGGUAAACUCCACCCGGAGCAAGGCCAAAUAGGGGUUCAUAAGGUACGGCCCGUACUGAACCCGGGUAGGCUGCUUGAGCCAGUGAGCGAUUGCUGGCCUAGAUGAAUGACUGUCCACGACAGAACCCGGCUUAUCGGUCAGCUUCACUU
This 261-nucleotide RNase P RNA is filed under the name Salmonella enterica subsp. enterica serovar Anecho. Its description in RNAcentral is "partial RNase P RNA component class A". It matches the Rfam family "Bacterial RNase P class A", at positions 101 to 367 of the family's 367-position model. Rfam says of the family: Ribonuclease P (RNase P) is a ubiquitous endoribonuclease, found in archaea, bacteria and eukarya as well as chloroplasts and mitochondria. Its best characterised activity is the generation of mature 5'-ends of tRNAs by cleaving the 5'-leader elements of precursor-tRNAs. Lineage: Bacteria; Pseudomonadati; Pseudomonadota; Gammaproteobacteria; Enterobacterales; Enterobacteriaceae. The record is from RNAcentral.